This 226-nucleotide ribosomal RNA is filed under the name uncultured bacterium. RNAcentral's name for it is "partial 16S ribosomal RNA". It matches the Rfam family "Bacterial small subunit ribosomal RNA", at positions 15 to 231 of the family's 1533-position model. The record is from RNAcentral.
GAUCUGGCUCAGGAUGAACGCUAGCUACAGGCUUAACACAUGCAAGUCGAGGGGCAGCAUGGUCUUAGCUUGCUAAGGCCGAUGGCGACCGGCGCACGGGUGAGUAACACGUAUCCAACCUGCCGUCUACGUCUUGGACAGCCUUCUGAAGGGAAGAUUAAUACAAGAUGGCAUCAUGAGUCCGCAUGUUCACAUGAUUAAAGGUAUUCCGGGUAGACGAUGGGGA